GAUGAACGCUGGCGGCGUGCCUAAUACAUGCAAGUCGAGCGAACAGACGAGGAGCUUGCUCCUCUGACGUUAGCGGCGGACGGGUGAGUAACACGUGGAUAACCUACCUAUAAGACUGGGAUAACUUCGGGAAACCGGAGCUAAUACCGGAUAAUAUAUUGAACCGCAUGGUUCAAUAGUGAAAGACGGUUUUGCUGUCACUUAUAGAUGGAUCCGCGCCGCAUUAGCUAGUUGGUAAGGUAACGGCUUACCAAGGCGUCGAUGCGUAGCCGACCUGAGAGGGUGAUCGGCCACACUGGAACUGAGACACGGUCCAGACUCCUACGAGAGGCAGCAGUAGGGAAUCUUCCGCAAUGGGCGAAAGCCUGACGGAGCAACGCCGCGUGAGUGAUGAAGGUCUUCGGAUCGUAAAACUCUGUUAUUAGGGAAGAACAAAUGUGUAAGUAACUAUGCACGUCUUGACGGUACCUAAUCAGAAAGCCACGGCUAACUACGUG
Molecule: ribosomal RNA, 497 nt
Filed under: uncultured bacterium
Lineage: Bacteria
Description: partial 16S ribosomal RNA
Rfam family: Bacterial small subunit ribosomal RNA
Source: RNAcentral